CUGCAGUAUCCGAAGUGAAUUCUCUUUAAGGUCAUAUAAUUUAACAAAACAGGUCAAAUUAAGGCAGUUUCCAUUGUGAUGCACCAAAGCAAUGCUACAAAAAGCAGACUGUUACAAAAAACAGAGUUCCAUAAAAGGACUCGAGUUCGUAGUACUCUCAAAAGUAAUGUAGAGCCUUUCUCUCCCCAACUCUGCCAACAACAAAAUCACCAUCUGGUCAUUUCUAUACGGCAAAUUAAUGGCGAUAAAUGACCAUAUGCUGACAAAAGGAGUACAUAUUACAAACUUACUAUGUUUAAAACUGACAACACAUCAUAGCUUGGAAUUUUGGCUCAACAAAUAGCUCUUCAGAACAUCCAUAACUGAUCCAAAAUCUGCUUUCACUUCCACAGGUGGGUUAGAAAACCGACAUUCCAUGUCUUUUAUUUCCUUUGAGUGGUAAUCAAUCUUGGAUUGAGUAAACUUCAAUCCAUGAGCUGUACUCACAACCACAGUCCUAUCAGUUGGUGCAAUGACUCCACUGUUUCUCAGCUUGAACAGCGCAGUCAAUGCCACACCAGUAUGCGGGCAAAUGAACAUCCCAGUGGAGUCUGCCUGAGCCAUAGCAUCCAUCAACUCCUCCUCGGUGGCCUCCUCAACUAUCCCGUUGCAGUUCUGCAGGGCAAAAACAGCUCUGUCUAUAGACACUGGGUCACCAAUCUGUAUAGCAGAUGCAAAUGUUGUGUUCGCCUUCACAGGUUUGAAGUCUUUCCAACCAGAUUUGUAAUGCAAGUAGAGCGGAUUAGCGUUGGCAGCUUGAGCACAAACAAGCCUAGGGAUGCGAUCCACAAGUCCCAACUCUUUGCACAUCUGAAAACCUUUAUAAAAUGCAUAUAUGUUGCCUAAGUUCCCACCAGGAACUAUAACCCACUCCGGAACUUCCCAAUCAAACUGCUGUAAA
RNAcentral lists this unclassified non-coding RNA (940 nucleotides) under Hevea brasiliensis (rubber tree). The record is from RNAcentral. Lineage: Eukaryota; Viridiplantae; Streptophyta; Magnoliopsida; Malpighiales; Euphorbiaceae.